AUUGUACUCCCUUCGUCCGGAAAUACUUGUCCUAAAAAUAAAUGAAUCUAGACUUAUUUUAGUUAUAGAUACAUCCAUUAUAUCCAUUUUUAGGAUAAGUAUUUCCGGACGAAGGGAGUAUUAU
RNAcentral lists this microRNA precursor (124 nucleotides) under Hordeum vulgare. RNAcentral's name for it is "microRNA MIR1122". It matches the Rfam family "MIR1120/MIR1122 microRNA precursor family". Lineage: Eukaryota; Viridiplantae; Streptophyta; Magnoliopsida; Poales; Poaceae. The record is from RNAcentral.